This 292-nucleotide ribosomal RNA is filed under the name uncultured bacterium. RNAcentral describes it as "partial 16S ribosomal RNA". It matches the Rfam family "Bacterial small subunit ribosomal RNA", at positions 505 to 796 of the family's 1533-position model. The record is from RNAcentral.
GUGCCAGCAGCCGCGGUAAUACGUAGGGAGCAAGCGUUGUCCGGAUUUACUGGGCGUAAAGAGCGCGUAGGCGGAAGCUUAAGUGUGGCCUGAAAGCCCCCGGCUCAACCGGGGAGAGUGGCUGCAAACUGGGCUUCUUGAGGGGGAUAGAGGAAGGUGGAAUUCCGGGUGUAGCGGUGAAAUGCGUAGAGAUCCGGAGGAACACCAGUGGCGAAGGCGGCCUUCUGGGUCCGCCCUGACGCUGAGGCGCGAAAGCGUGGGGAGCGAACGGGAUUAGAUACCCCGGUAGUCC